UACGAAGGGGGCUAGCGUUGUUCGGAUUUACUGGGCGUAAAGCGCACGUAGGCGGAUCGUUAAGUUGGAGGUGAAAUCCCAGGGCUCAACCCUGGAACUGCCUUCAAUACUGGCGAUCUAGAGUCCGGAAGAGGUGAGUGGAACUCCUAGUGUAGAGGUGGAAUUCGUAGAUAUUAGGAAGAACACCAGUGGCGAAGGCGGCUCACUGGUCCGGUACUGACGCUGAGGUGCGAAAGCGUGGGGAGCAAACAGG
This 253-nucleotide ribosomal RNA is filed under the name uncultured bacterium. RNAcentral describes it as "partial 16S ribosomal RNA". It matches the Rfam family "Bacterial small subunit ribosomal RNA", at positions 524 to 776 of the family's 1533-position model. The record is from RNAcentral.